Molecule: long non-coding RNA, 11615 nt
Filed under: Gossypium barbadense (sea-island cotton)
Lineage: Eukaryota; Viridiplantae; Streptophyta; Magnoliopsida; Malvales; Malvaceae
Description: long non-coding RNA (GBAR_LNC003763)
Source: RNAcentral
AUGAAUUUUGGAUCACAAAUUUUAAUUUCUCACUUUAUACAAAUCAAAACUAAAAUUAAUAAAAAAAUUAUAUAUUCAAAUUUAUUUUUUAUCAUGAACAAUAAACACAGCUUAACAAAAAAUUAUCUCGAUAAAUAAUAAUUUCAGUGACAUCAAAAUGGUAAAACAUAGUCUGAUAACUAUUGAGAACAAACAAAUAAAGAACUAGAAAGUAAAAUAUAUGUAUUAGAGGGAUUUACAAUAUCCCUCCCUAACUUAUCGAAUAUGUUUGUACAUUGAUUACUUUCCUUACACGUGUGCUUCAACUGGUAUAGGUGGAAACCAUCAAAGAGUGUCCUGCAAUCAGGUAUCAGAGUAUAAAGUAAUGGUUAAUCAACUUUUGAUUGCAAAUUAAGCGUGUAACCGAACAAGCAUCAAUUUCAUUGACAUGAGAAACAUUAUUAUCCCUUGCAAUGAUAAGACCAUCUCUUAAUGGCCAUAGUUCUACUUGAACACUAGUAGCAGACGAUAUAUGGCUAUAUGCUAGAACAAUCCAAUCCCUAUUACUAUCCCAAAUAAUUAUUCUUGUUCCAACUUUCCCAGGAGUAGUUAAGGUGAAGCCAUCCAUAUUCAAUUUAAGUCAUCCUCGUGGAGGUGGUUCCCAGUGAAUUCCUACCAUAGUGCGUAGCCCAUAUUGCAAUGCCGGCACGAAGAGAGCAUAGAAUCCACAACAACAUCCUUAGAUAAUCCAAUUUUCCCUAGCAUAAAAAGCAAGUAUAACUCUCCAAGGGAUUCAGUGAUCUUAAUGCCAAGCUUUGGCAUUCAAGUUAUACUUUAACUAGCCACAUAGCAAAGCACCAAAUUGAGUUCAAUUAUGCCCCCUUAGCCAAUUUUCGUUCCACCAUUGUAGAGAGACCCUACACUCUUUACGUACAAGUGUAAGGGUUUUCGGUGAUCCUUGCAUAAGGGGCACUUCUCAUCCACUUGACUCCUCUCCACUUAAUGACCAUUUCAGUUGGGACAAUCUCAUGGAAUCACACUUAAAGGGAAAAAUUACGUAAUUUUGGAGGGACUUAACUUCCCAAACAUGUUUCCAAUGUGAUCAGAUUUUAAUCUCAGCAAUAAACUUGGAAGCUAAGUCAUUUUUGGUAAAGUUAUAAGCACUUGCCAUUAUGAAAUUGUGGUUAGGGCUGAAAUUCCAACAAAUCAUGUCAUUACCUUGGGUAAAAGUGUAAUGAACCAUUUCUUAAUGGGGUCCAAAAAAUUAAUUUUAAGCUGAAUCUAAAAAAUUAAAUUAUUAAAUAAUUUAUAAAAGAAUAAUUACGUGUAAAAUAUUGAAUUGAGAGGUCGAAUUAAUGAGUGUGAUUGAAUUAAAUCAAUUACUAAGAACAGUACAAUGACUAAAUCACAAGGUUAGUAAAUAAAAUACUUAAUUUAAACUUAGGGCAAGUCCUUUGAACUCAAUGAGAAAGAAUGUAGGUAUUACAAGGAGAGAAUGUAGGUGUGCUUUGGAUAUGAUCUAGCAUUUUACAUGGAAUUUUCAACGAGAAAGAAUUGCUUCCGUUACAUACGCAGAAUUCAAUAUCUUGCUUGAAAGUCAGGCACUCCUCUUCAAAAUUAAGAGUGCCUUGCACUUGUACUCUUAGCGAUCCUUCCCUAACUAGUUAUCCAUCCAAAAUUUAACUAAUGUUUUAUCUCAGACAUUUUUCAAGUAACCCAUUCAUCUUUUUCAACGCACCCUAAGUUCGCGAGACACUUUGAACUUUUCUAAUCGCGUAUUUUCUUUUAACAUAUUUAUUAAGAAGUGUUUUGACCCAACAUUAUUGACAUUUUGUAAUGAGAGACCAAUCUAGUUUGAUAAUAAAGGUUGCAUUCUUAAGCUUAAAUGUCCUGAUGCUUAAUCCUUAAACUUCUUGGAUUUUCUAAAUAUUUCCUACUUAAUAAAGUGCAUCCUUGAUCUCUCCUUUGUACUUCUUCAUAGGAACUUUCAAGUAAUUCUAUCAAAGACUAUCCAAAUAAUUGUAGGGAGCAUUCUACAUUGUAUAAAAUAAUUAGGGAUUAUGAGAAUUAUCCUCUCCACUAAUGAGAGUAAGUUAAUGUUCCGUCGGUUUAACUUAUCUUUCAUUCUAUUCCCAUAAUAAAUUAUAGUUAAUCGUUUUCACCCUAUUUGUAUGUAUAAGAAAUCCUAGGUAUCUCCCUAUUCAUUUUGGAUAAUAGAAUGAUAUCAUCAAGAAAGAAAAAGAGUGAAAUCUCACCACCACUUGUUGAAAAUUUAUUAGUCUCCACUCUCUUUGGGUGCAUACGCUUUGAAUUUGCAGACUAGUAUCUUCUAUGUAUAAGAUGAGAAGCAUCAGCCCCCAGUUAAAAAUUUAUUUAUAUAUUACCUUUAGUUUUUAGAAAAUCAAAGUUAAUAUAACCUUAAAAUUGCAGCUGGAUCCCAAAAAAAUUAUUAUUUAUUAUUGGCUUCCCCUCUUAUUAAUAUAAUAAUUAAGAAUUUUAACAUUAAACGCAGAUGUUAUUAUAAUGACCCUAGAAAUGCUACUAUGAUAAAAUUAGAGGUUAUGAUUUGAAAGUGGGUUUUGAUUGCAGUGCAUGACAUCGUUGUCCCUAGAUAUUAAUCUUCUGGUUAGAUCUAGGAGGUUGACAAAUGAGGUAUAGCAUUAGCAAACUAUGUAAUCAUUUUCGUUUUUAGCAAGUUAGAUUCAUUAAACCGCCUUUCUAUUUUUCUUUCCAAAACAAUAUUUAAGCUUUACCUUUACUUGUUAGAUUUAAUGCUUUGACCGUUCAUAUAGAUUUAACAUCAUUCAAUAUACGUGCUUUAGUGAUAGAUAUCUUCACUUCUAUUGCCAUGACUUUCAUCAUUUUCAACCGCAAACAAAAAUACCAUACCUUUCUUCAUGUUUCUCUACCAUGCACAAUCUCGAUAUUUUAAUAUCUUUCAUUAUUUUCUUUAAUACCGUUCAUAGAUUUAACAUCAUUCAAUAUACGUGCUUUAGUGAUAGAUAUAAUGACUUUAUUUUUAUUUUUAUUAUUUAAAUGCCUCAAUAUAUCAUUUCAUACAUAAAUUUGAAAUUUUUUUAAUGUAAUACUUAUUUUCCUUUUUAAGAUAGUUAGAGGCGGAUACAAGGAGGCUGGCAGUCGCCUUGGUCCCCCUAAAAUGGAAAAUUUAUAUUUAGGCCUUUCAAAUUUUUUUUAAAAUCUUAAAUUAGUAAAGGUAAAAUUAUACUUUGGCCCCCCUAAAAUUAUAAAAAUUAGAUUUAAUCCUUUAAAAAUUAUAAAGAUAUAGACUAUAAAAAAUUAAAUUUCCAUUCGGCCCCCCUAAAAAUUUGUUCUGGCUUUGCCCCUGAACAUAGUGUUCGUAUUUGAUAAAAAUUAUAAUUUUUGAUACCUAAAGGUAAUGACAUUAAAUUUUUAGUGAUUAAUUAAAGUUUUAGAGUUGAUUUGAUGAAAUUUAAUAAUUAAUAAUAAUAUUAAUAAUUAAGUUUCAUCAAAUCAAUAAUACAUUUAAAAUAUAUAUAUAACCAUUAGACUGUAUUUAAUAAAUUAAACAAAUUUAUAAUUAAUUUAAAUCUAAUAAUAUUAAUGACUAACUUUCAUCAAAAUAAACUAUAAAAUUCAAAUUAAACAUUAAAAAAUUAAAUUACCUUUAAAUAUUAACAUAUAUUAUCUCUACCAAAUAAAUAUAACACAUUAAAAAAUCACUAAUAGUAAAUUUAAAAAUUAUUAAACUCAAGUAUUAAGAACUAAUAGUAUUAAACUUUACAAAUUCGAUAUAAAUAAAAAUCAAUUUAUGAUAAAGUAGGAAGACCUUUUUUCUUUUAUCCUUUUCGGUACAUGCACGGACGCAAAAGAUUUUUCUUUUGCCCCCAAUUUAAUAUCAUUUAUAAUAGUUCUAUAAUAGUUUAUUUCUUUUUUUUAUUAGCAUUAAACAAUUAAAUCUUUAAAAUAAUGAAUAUUUCUACUAACAAAAGUUUAAAGCAAAAAAAGGCAUAUAAUUUUCUAUUAAAAACUUAAAUAUAAACAUAUAUCUAUUAAUUAGGACUCCAUUUUUUUUUCAACUCAUGCAAAAUCAAUUUAUUAUUUAUAUUUGAAAUUAAAUAUUCACAUUUAACUUGAAUUAAAUAAAGAUUAAUAUUUGAUGCUAUGACUUUUUUUUUAUGUUCCAUUGAUGAACCCAAUGAUAACACAUUAUUUAAAAGCUUUAAAAAUAUAUUCAUUUAUCCAAGGGUGAAGUUAAAAAAUUUUAGGGUAAAAUUAAAUUAUAUAUUUUUAUGAUAGUAAAAAUAUAAUUUCAUCAUUUUAAUAGACUAUAUCUUUAAAAUUUUAAAGCAAUAAAUAAAAAUUUUAUCAUUUUAGGGGUCAAAGUGCUAUUUUACUAUUACUAAUUUAAAUUUUUUUCAUUAUAAAGGGGUCUUAAUUAAAAAAAUUCAUUUCAAGAAAUUAAAAAAAAUUAUUUCAAAAAAUUAAAAAAUUUUCAUUUUAAGAGAGACCGAGGUCUCUACCAGUCCCUUUGACUUUGCCCCUGCAUUUAUCAUUAUUUCAAAUGAUGUAUCAUUAUCUAAUUCAUGGAAAAUGAAUAAAAUUAUACAGUAUCAAAGCAUCAAAUAUUAAUUCAUUAAAUUAAAAAAUAUUUUACACUUCAAAAUAUAUAUAUCUAAAAUUUAUUAUCUAUAACUUUCAUAAACAGAAUUAUAAUAAAAUUAAUUUCGAUCAUAAAAUAUAUUACGCACUUUAUAAUAAAACCUAAAUUUAAUAUUAUUGAUUGUGAUAACCAUGAAUCAGGAGUCGGGAGACAUGCUUUAAAAAUUUUUGUAAUAAGGGGUGUUUUUGAACUGUGAUGAAGAAACUAUCAUUAUUGAGUCAGAUUCAGUUACUGCUAUUACAUGGCAAACUGAAUGUGCAGGAAAAGACCAUGUCACUUGAGAUGUAUGCGGUCUGUUUCCAGAAUCUUGUUGCAUGUUCUUUUAAUAAAUAACACUUAUCUCUGCCGAGCGGGAAAAAAAAAACAUAUUGGAUACCUAAAAAUAAAUAAUAAAAUAUUUAAUUGUCGGUGUAUUGAAACUCUUAAAAAAAAAUGACAACCAUGUAAUUACAAAACAAGAUUGAAUGUGGGUGAGAGUGAGAGUCUACCUCAAAUAUGGCCAAAGAAAGCAACCUAAAGAUUCAAACUGCACUUUUUUCUCUAUUUUUCUUCUACAAUCCACACUUCAAAUUAUUUUUACAAUUAGCAUUUUAAAUCAUUUAAUAAAUAUAAAUAUAUAUAUAAUAUUUUAAGUCGAUAUAACAGAAUAUCAAAUUAAUUAAAAAUUUUAUCUAGAUGACAUUUACAAUUAUAUUUAAUAAAUUUAACGAUUGGAUGUUAAAAUAUUUAUAAUACAAAAUAUUAUUAUAAAUGGAUUCGUUCCCUAUAAAUUAUUAUAUAAUAAAAAAUAAAAAUUUAAGACUUUAAUUUUGUAUAAUAAAAGGAUUAUAAAAACAUCUAAACCCUUAAUCAUGCCACUUAAUCUAUGACUGUAUAAAUAAAAAUAACACGUCAAAGAUUACAUUAACCAUCAAAUCUAACACUAUAAUCAACACUUCCAACAUUAAUGAUUCACAAUCAUAUUAGCUUACAAUGAGGGCUAUUUCUGCAUAUGUAGUUUUAAUACUUCUAUUAUCGUAAUUAAAAAGAUUCUGUAUUUAUAUGGCGCAGUAAUGAUAAGUUAUGUGAAUUUUUAUUUUCUAUAAUUUGUUAUUAUUUUUCAUGCUAGCUGAUACUUUUUCUUAUUUUAUUUCUGGUCAAAAAUUGAGGACAAUUCUUAAAAAAAUGCCAUCUUUUCUUUAAAAUUAUUGUAUUAGAUUGUUUUUUUUUUAAAUUACGGGAUUAGGCUGAAAUAAUAAAAUGCUUCUAGUUGGAAGCAUUUUUAACGGAUUUACAGGAAAGUCCUUAUAGUUGAAAGUGUUUUUAACAUAUUAGCAGAAAGACACUUUCAAGUAGAAACGUUUCCAUUUUUUCGACCUAAUCCCAUUAUUUUUAAAAAUAAAGUCUAAUCCAAUAUUUCUUUUAAACUGCAUUUUUAGAAAAUUUACUCCAAAUAUUGCUGGAUAUAUUGAACCCUUUUCAAGGGAAAAAUCUGAAAGGGUGCUUGAGGGCAUCUCAAAAUGGUCAGUGACCACCCAAAUGGCCUGUUAAGUAAUUCAACUUAAAAAACUGGGGCUUACGAAGCAUACUUUUUCUGCAUCCAAUUCAACCAAGAAGACCAAAAUCAUGCAAUUUCUCGGCUGUUUUACCUAAAAAAGCACUUUAAAAAAUAUAAUUACUGUAAUGGGCCAUUUAUUAAGUUAUUUAUCGGAUUAAGCCGUUUUCCACGAAAACGCGUCCAUAUCAGCGCGCUUUAGUGUCCACAUCAACAAAAUGUUUCUCUGGGGAACAUUUUGUCCAUGUUAGCAAAAAACGCGUCCUUGGGGGCGCGCUUUGCUGACGUGGGCAAAACGCUCCCCCAGGGAAGCGUUUUAGCCCGAGUAUAAAUUUUCAAAAAAUGUUAUUUUUUAAAUAUUAUAAAAAUAGACCAAUUUUUUUGAAAAUUUACAAGUAUAAAUCUUAAAAAAUGCUCAAAGUGAAAAUACCACUUUUUUUUAAAGUGUUACCAAUUAAUAUGGAAACAAAACUUAAAAAGCAAAUCUUUAUAUGGACUGAAAGUCUUAUUUCCCUUUCUUUUUUUUUAAGCAAUGUGGGAUAUGAGAUAUGUGUAUAUUUAGACUUAUGAAUAGGUUUGCAGCUUGUUCCUAAACAAUGUGAGAUUCCUUCCUCUUUUAACUAACAACAUAAAAUUAAAAGCUACACUAUAUUUUAUAUUUUUUUUACUUAGAAUUUAAUUUUUUUUACAAAAAGUUAACAUUUGUUACAUUAUAAAUAAAAAUUUUAAACUCUAUAAGUAAAAAAAUUAUCAAAUAUAAAAUGAGUAUGGUAAAAUAUUAAAAAUAAAUAUUUAAAAAAUUACUAAUAGUUGAGUGAUCAUUUUGUAAGUUUUUAUAAGUCUAUAGCUAAAAAAUCAAAGUUAAGUGACUACUAAUGUAAUUUAAUCUAGAUAUAAAAAUAUGAAAAAUAAUUAUUAUAUUUUAUGUAUAUUAUAUAUUUCUAUAAAAAAACUUAUUUAGCAUAAUUAUAUACUAUAUUUAAAUAAAUUAUCUAUCUAGUCAAAAUACAUCUUAAAUAAAAUUAUCAGCAUUCAUUAGGUGAUGAAAAUUAAAUUAAAAUUAGAAUUAAAAAAUUUAAUUAGUAUAAUAAAAUAUUAAAAAUAAGUAAAUAUUUAAAAAAGAUAUAUUAAUUUUUUUAAAUUACAUAAAACUACUAUUUGAGUGCCAAAUACUCACCAUUAUUUAUUAGUCAAACAUUCACAAUAUAAAAUAAAAAAUAAAAUUAAAAAAAUUAAAAGUAUAACUUCUAAAUUUAAAUAAUGGAAAAUUAUUUUAAAAAUUAGAAUUGCAUUGAUAUUAACUUCAAACAUUUAAAGUUGAAUAGAAGAUUAUUAUUGCAUGUACAAGCUCCAUAUGUGCAAUUUGUUCUCUUUUUUUAAUAGUUCUUUUGUAUAUGUUAACAAUUCUAAAAUGCAACAAGAUUAUAUCUCAAAAGUUAAUUUUAUAUUAUGAGAAAAUGUUAACAAAAUAUAAAAAAUAGAAAUUGUUUUGUAAAAAAAUAAUAAAAUAUAGUGUAGCAUUUAGUCUCAUGUUGUUAGUUAAAGGAGAAAGGAAUCCCACAUUGUUUAGUAACAAGCUGCAAACUUACUCAUGAGUCUAUAUAUACACAUAUCUCAUAUCCCACAUUGCUUAAGAAAAUAAGAGAAAUGAGACUUUGAGUCUAUAUAAAGAUUUGCUUUGUAAGUUUUAUUUCCAUAUUAAUUGGUAAAACCUUGAAAAAAAAUAGUGUUGUCACUUUAAGCUUUUUUAAGGUUUAUUCUUAUAAAUUUUUAAAAGAAUUGGUCUAUUUUUAUAAUAUUUAAAAAAUGACCUUUUUUGAAAAUUUAAACUCGGGCUAAAAUGUGUCCUUGGGGGAGCGUUUUUACCAUAUCAGCAAAGUGCGUCCACGAGGGCACGAAAUGUGGACAUGUUUUCGUAAAAAACUGCCUAAUCCGAUAAAUAAGUCAAUAAACGACUCAUUUUCAUAAUUAUAUUUUUUAAAGGGCCUUUUUGGUAAAACGGCCCAACUUCUCAGUCAAACCCAACAAAAUAGGACCCAUAGGAAAAUAAAUUUAUAGUUGUUAAUUGAUAAAAAAAAAUUCGAGAUUCAAUCAAACACUUUCUAUUAUCUCAUUUCUCAUUCUGAAGGUUAUGAGAUUUUUAUUUUUAUUUUAUAAAAUAAAUGAUGAAUUUUGUUUAAAUUUAUUUUUAUUUUUAUUUAUCACGUGCGAAUUCAUAUUUAAAUUUAUUUUAAUUUAAAUUAAAUUUAAUCUAUACUUUAUAAUACUUAUAUAAUAAAUUUAAAAUAAUGAAUUUAAGCAUACUUAAACACAUAAUGUCCUUUAAUAUAAAACUUUAACAAUAUAUAAAUAAUUUAAGCAUUGGAUAAAAAUAAAAAAAUAGUAUAAUAUACUUUAUAACCACUCAACUUUUAGUAUAUUUUGUUUUUCAUUACUAAUCAAAAUAAAUAAUAUUUUCAUCUGUUUUUAAAUAAUUUAAUUUUGAAAUUAAUUCUAUCUAAUUUUAAAAUCAAUAUUUACACUAUCAUAAAUGGAUGCAGUGACUAUUUUUAUAAUCGGUAGGUUUUUAAUAUUAUAAAUUUUCUUAUCUUUUUAUACACAUACAUGCACAAAAGUACAAUAAUAUCACAUACUAGUUUUCGAGUAAGUCAAAUUCUAGUACCAGCUUGUGAUAUAUAUAUAAGUUGAGAAUUUAAUAUAUAUAUAUAUAUAUAUAUUCUAAUUUAACUAAUUUUAGUUCUAAUAUUUUUUAAAAUUUGAAAUUAUAAUCAUAACCUAGUUAAAUUUAUUACAUCAAAUUUUGUUAUUAUUAUCAUAAGUUUUGAAUUUAGUUCUUAUUUUCCAAUUUGAUUAUUUUUAGUCAAUAUAUUUUUAAAAUACUUGUCCUUACUAAAAUAAUAGUUGUUAAAUCACUUAGCUAAGAUAACAUAAAUUUUCUGUAAAUAUUAUAUAAAAACAGUGAGUUAACUUGGAACUACAGACACGAGAUGAUAUAUUUGUUGCAUAAUAUUUUUAAAAUAACAGAAUUCAACUUAAUAAAUUUAACAACUACUUUUUGGGUCAAGAUUGAAAUUUAAAAAUUUUAAAAAUAAAUAAAAUAAAAAUGAUCAAACUAAAGUAGAAUGAUUGAAUCCACAACUUAUGCAUAAUACAAAGACUAAUAGUAAAAUUUGAUAUUUGAAUAUAUUAUAUAUUAAUUAUGCUAUAUUUAUUAUUUUAUUUAGUUUUAUCAUUAUUUUAAAAAAAUUAUAUUAUAUAUUAGUUAUUAAAUACUAUGGCAUGAGUAUACAACUAAUAAAAGUAUAUAUAAGGACAUAUAAAAGUAAGGAAUAAUUACAAUAUCAAAAUAAUUUCAACAUUUAUGAAGGAUGAGGUUGAUAGUUACAUUAAAAUUAAAAUAAGGAUUAUGAUAAAAAUAUUAAAACAUUACUCAACAUUUAUGGGAGUGGAGAUUCAAAUUUAGACUUCUCAAUCAAAGUUAUUCUUUUUGUGCACUCCUUAAUACUAAAAAGUUCAGUAAUUAAAAAUUUACAGGAACAGCUCCUUAAAAAUGAAUUAUGUGAAAAAAAAAAUUAAACAUACAUAUUUUAUAAAAAAUUAAAAUAUAUUCGUACAUUUAAAAUUUAGUCUUUAUAUUUUAAUUUUUAAGAAUUUAAUCUCUCCACUAUUUUAAAUCCAACUAACAUUGUUAAAAUUAUUUUAUUAACUUUAAGUUAUUUACAAUGUCAUUUUUUAAUUACGUGACUACUAAGUAAGUAUAUUUUUUUAUUUCAAAUUGUCAUUCCAGUAAAUUUAAUAAAAAAUAUUUAACACAAUUAGACCAAAAUUUUGAAAUCUAAAAAGAGGACUAAAUUAUUGAAAAUAUAAAUAUAAAGACUAAAUUCUUAAUUUAUGAGAAGUAUAGGAGGUUAUGGUAUAUUUUAACCUUUAAAAAAUAAUAGUUUUAUUUUUCAAUAUGGUCGAAUAGAAAACCAGCAUUUAGCUUUAAUAUAUUCCACCUAAUAUGUUUUUCCUUUUAAAAUUUUAAUUCAUUUUAUUCUUCCUGCUUAAUUUUCCUUCUUCUUCUUCCCUGGUUUUUGUGUUGCUUCUCCUUCUACUUCUUUCUGGGUCCCCAAAAUCCUGUGUCAACAGUUUAACACAGAGCUCAAAGACCCAAAAACAACUUCCGCCAGCACUUUUGCUCUUUUAAAAGAGUAUAUCGACGUCCAUAAAUUAACCUCUUCAUUUCGUCAAAUUUUUGCAGGAGUUGAACCACUAUAUUCAUAUAAUAUCAUUUCUACCUAGGGGAAUAAAGCAUAUCAUAAUUGAUGACAUUAUCUAAUUUCACAACUCUAAACUAUUGCAACCAAAAAAAAAAGGAACAGAAGAUUAUCCGUUCCUUCUCUUCAAAAUUUAAGAAUCGGCAGAAACCCAAUUUGAUAGAGAAAUAAGUGGAUAAAAAUCUCAGUUUUUAUUUUUAAAUUGUUUUUAAUCAGAUCAGAGUUCCUCUCUCUGCUCCAAGACUAAAUCCAAUUCCAAUUCCAUCUAAAGAGUAGAACAAAAUUAUUCAGUUUACAUACCCCCCCCCAAAAAAAAAAAAACCACUAAAUAUAUACAUCUAUAUAAUAUAAAGCAGAUUCAAUCAUUACAAACUAAUUCAACAGAAUAAACCUCAAAUAUCAUAGCUGGAAAAAAAAUUCAACAAAAAGAAACGAAUGCAAAAAUGAUACGCAUGUGAUCAGAGGAAAUGGAAGAGCAGACGUACCUUUCAUCGAAUAACACCGCUCCUAGGAUCAUCACCAUAUCUCUUUUAUUUUUGUUUCCGAGAUCAUAUAAGUUGCUGUUUUGUGUCGUCAAUCAGCGUUUUCUUUCCUUUUUUUUUUUUUUUGAUUUGUUUGUUCAUUGUGCGUUUCAGUUCGGGUGGGAUGGAGUUUUGGAAUUCACAUUUUACAUUUAAGAGAAAUUAUCCAUCUAUUAUGUCCAGAUUCUUGAAGCAGUUCUUUUGAAGAAUAACAUUCAAAUAUUUUAAAAAAGAAACGAAACAGGUGAAGUUAUCCAUCUAUUAUCAUAUUCCUUAAGCAGUUUCCUUUACAUGUUGAUUUUGGCUGCAGUGGUUACAGAGAAUGAUUUCAGCUUCAAAGUUUGUUAACGGUGGAAGUUUAUUUGAAGAAGAAGAGAAGAAAAAAAACGGAGAAGAAGAAGGUGGAGAAUAUUAAAGCCAUUUCGCAUGUCCAGGCAGUGGCGGAACUCUGAAGUUUAUAUCUAUUUUAUAAAAUAAAAUUUCGGCCACACAUAUGUCAUAAAUCCAAAAAUGUUUAUGAAAAUUGAAAUCUUAUUAUAAAAUUAAAAUUUUUAAUUGUCAUGGUCCAAACCAAGGAACAAAAAUUGAAUGUUAUACAUUAAAUCGAAAACAUACAAAUAAGGGGUGAGUGAAAACAUAAUGAUAGUUUGACAAUUUAAAGAUAAAACCAAAGAAAUGGU